RNAcentral lists this ribosomal RNA (712 nucleotides) under uncultured bacterium. RNAcentral describes it as "bacterial SSU rRNA". It matches the Rfam family "Bacterial small subunit ribosomal RNA", at positions 1 to 719 of the family's 1533-position model. The record is from RNAcentral.
UCGCCCUUGGAUCCAGACUUUGAUCCUGGCUCCCGUCGAACGCUGGCGGCGCGCCUAACACAUGCAAGUCGAACGAGAGAGAGGGAGCUUGCUUCCUCGAUCGAGUGGCGAACGGGUGAGUAACGCGUGAGGAACCUGCCUCAAAGAGGGGGACAACAGUUGGAAACGACUGCUAAUACCGCAUAAGCCCGGGGCUCGGCAUCGAGCAGGGGGAAAAGGAGCAAUCCGCUUUGAGAUGGCCUCGCGUCCGAUUAGCUAGUUGGUGAGGUAAUGGCCCACCAAGGCGACGAUCGGUAGCCGGACUGAGAGGUUGAACGGCCACAUUGGGACUGAGACACGGCCCAGACUCCUACGGGAGGCAGCAGUGGGGAAUAUUGCACAAUGGGGGAAACCCUGAUGCAGCGACGCCGCGUGGAGGAAGAAGGUCUUCGGAUUGUAAACUCCUGUUGUUGGGGAAGAUAAUGACGGUACCCAACAAGGAAGUGACGGCUAACUACGUGCCAGCAGCCGCGGUAAAACGUAGGUCACAAGCGUUGUCCGGAAUUACUGGGUGUAAAGGGAGCGCAGGCGGGUGAUCAAGUUGGAAGUGAAAUCCAUGGGCUCAACCCAUGAACUGCUUUCAAAACUGAUCGUCUUGAGUAGUGCAGAGGUAGGCGGAAUUCCCGGUGUAGCGGUGGAAUGCGUAGAUAUCGGGAGGAACACCAGUGGCGAA